Molecule: ribosomal RNA, 1140 nt
Filed under: Triticum aestivum (bread wheat)
Lineage: Eukaryota; Viridiplantae; Streptophyta; Magnoliopsida; Poales; Poaceae
Description: partial small subunit ribosomal RNA
Source: RNAcentral
AUGAUGCAUUAUGGAUCUGAGAUGAUGGUGCCGUUCGGACCAAAGGCAAUAACAAAUCUAUGUACAAGUUUUCUUAGAGAUGACACAAAGGAGGGUGACAUGAUUGAGACAAUUGCGCACUUCAAGGAUAUACAAAAAACCGAUCCAGACUUCUUCUAUAAGGUAAAAUAUGAUGAAGAGGACAAAGUUGUCAACAUAUUUUGGGUGGAUGGCUCAGCUCGAAAAGCUUAUUUGGAGGCGUACCACGAUUGCAUAUCGUUUGACACCACCUACAUGACCAACAUGUACAAUAUGCCGUUUGCGCCCUUCAUCGGAAUAAACCGACAUGGCCAAUCUUUCAUGCUGGGUUGGGCGCUUGUGAGGCAGGAGUUGGCAUCAAGCUUUGGUUGGGUCUUCCGAGCAUUCCUAGAGGCUAUGGAUGGCAAACCUCCUGACAACUUCAUAACCGAUCAGGAUGGUGCAAUGAGGCAGUCAAUACAGUGCAUCUUUCCAUCCAUAGUGCACCGCUGUUGUCGAUGGCACAUCAUGAAAAAGGCUCAAGAAAAAGUUGGUUGGCUGUUGUGCCGGAACCCAGGGCUCUCAGAUGAUUUCAACUACUGUGUUGACUUCAGCUUCACUAUAGACGAGUUUGAGCAGAAUUGGGUUGGGUUAAUGAUGAAGUACGAGGCUAUGACACACACACACUUUGAGAAGUUGUACGAAUACAUGUCAACUUGGGUUCCGUGCUACUUCAAACACAUGUUCUUCCCCUUCCUGCAGUCUACACAACGUAGUGAGGGGUUCAACGCCGUCCUAAAAAGAUAUGUGAACCCACACAAUUCAAUGCUGAACUUUGUCAAGCAAUAUGAAAAAAUUCAGAACCACAUCCUUCCCAAGGAAGGCUGCAAUGAUUACAGGACAGAACACCUUGAGAUUGAGCUAUGGUCCAACUUCCCAAUAGAGAGGCAAGCUUACGAAACCUACACUAGGGACCUUUACCACAAGUUCAGAGAAGAGUUUGUGCUGAUUGGACGUUAUAAUGCGUUCCUAGUUGGUGCUGACCUUUUUUUAGCUCAGACCGAACCAGAAAUUUGUUGGCAAAUAUGGUUCUCAAAACUACUUAGUGCAGGCAAGGGUGGGGGAGGGUUCCUAUUUGUGUGA